Molecule: ribosomal RNA, 404 nt
Filed under: uncultured bacterium
Lineage: Bacteria
Description: bacterial SSU rRNA
Rfam family: Bacterial small subunit ribosomal RNA
Source: RNAcentral
UGGGGAAUAUUGGACAAUGGGGGCAACCCUGAUCCAGCAAUGCCGCGUGUGUGAUGAAGGCCUUAGGGUUGUAAAGCACUUUCACUGGUGAAGAUGAUGACGGUAACCAGAGAAGAAGCCCCGGCUAACUUCGUGCCAGCAGCCGCGGUAAUACGAAGGGGGCGAGCGUUGUUCGGAAUUACUGGGCGUAAAGGGAGCGCAGGCGGUUCAUUCAGUUAGGCGUGAAAGCCCCGGGCUCAACCUGGGAACUGCGCUUAAUACUGAUGGACUAGAAAUCAGAAGAGGAUAGUGGAAUUCCCAGUGUAGAGGUGAAAUUCGUAGAUAUUGGGAAGAACACCAGUGGCGAAAGCGGCUACCUGGUCCGAUUUUGACGCUGAGGCGCGAAAGCGUGGGGAGCAAACAGG